RNAcentral lists this ribosomal RNA (492 nucleotides) under uncultured bacterium. Its description in RNAcentral is "partial 16S ribosomal RNA". It matches the Rfam family "Bacterial small subunit ribosomal RNA", at positions 29 to 507 of the family's 1533-position model. The record is from RNAcentral.
AGUGAACGCUGGCGGUAGGCCUAACACAUGCAAGUCGAACGGCAGCACAGUAAGAGCUUGCUCUUACGGGUGGCGAGUGGCGGACGGGUGAGGAAUACAUCGGAAUCUACUUUUUCGUGGGGGAUAACGUAGGGAAACUUACGCUAAUACCGCAUACGACCUACGGGUGAAAGCAGGGGAUCUUCGGACCUUGCGCGAUUGAAUGAGCCGAUGUCGGAUUAGCUAGUUGGCGGGGUAAAGGCCCACCAAGGCGACGAUCCGUAGCUGGUCUGAGAGGAUGAUCAGCCACACUGGAACUGAGACACGGCCCAGACUCCUACGGGAGGCAGCAGUGGGGAAUAUUGGACAAUGGGCGCAAGCCUGAUCCAGCCAUACCGCGUGGGUGAAGAAGGCCUUCGGGUUGUGAAGCCCUUUUGUUGGGAAAGAAAAGCAGCAGGUUAAUACCCCGCUGUUCUGACGGUACCCAAAGAAUAAGCACCGGCUAACUUCGUG